Long non-coding RNA from Oncorhynchus tshawytscha (Chinook salmon), 713 nucleotides. NCBI's taxonomy places the organism in Eukaryota, Metazoa, Chordata, Actinopteri, Salmoniformes, Salmonidae. The record is from Ensembl.
UGUGUAGUAUGGUUGGUGUGUAGUAUGGUUGGUGUGUGGUAUGGUUGGUGUGUAGUAUGGUUGGUGUGUAGUAUGGUUGGUGUGUAGUAUGGUUGGUGUGUAGUAUGGUUGGUGUGUAGUAUGGUUGGUGUGAAGUAUGGUUGGUGUGUAGUAUGGUUGGUGUGUAGUUUGGCAGUCUGCCACACCACACAGGCAGGCUGUUUAUCCUCCAGACAGAAGAGCUUGAAUUUCUCUCCGUGCAGACUGCAGAACAUCUCAAACGUCCUCUGAGUUUCUAGCUGGGACGGUGAGAAGGCCUCACACUGGUUUCUCAAGGCCACGUUAGGAUGAUUUUCACAACCUCUUCCUGUAAAGUGGACAUUCCCAAAGUUCCUUUAGUCUCCUGCAGACAGGCUUUACAGAAGACAGACAGGCUUUUUCGGAAGACAGACAGGCUUUUUCGGAAGACAGACAGGCUUUACAGAAGACAGACAGGCUUUACAGAAGACAGACAGGCUUUUUCGGAAGACAGACAGGCUUUUUCGGAAGACAGACAGGCUUUACAGAAGACAGACAGGCUUUACAGAAGACAGACAGGCUUUACAGAAGACAGACAGGCUUUACAGAAGACAGACAGGCUUUUCGGAAGACAGACAGGCUUUUUCGGAAGACAGACAGGCUUUACAGAAGACAGACAGGCUUUACAGAAGACAGACAGGCUUUACAGAAGACAG